AAUAAUAAUAGAAAACAGAAAGUAAUAUUUGAUAGAGAUAUUUAAGUGAAAUUACGGUAAAACUUAGAGGAAUAUAUAAUUCACUGGAGCCGUGUGAGUGAGAGAAAAACCCUAGAUUACUAUUUCCUUGCAAACUGUUGAGGGCCUUGUACCUUGGUGGGAAAGUAGAGCUCGAAAGAGAAGAAAGAAUUGUGAGGACGUUGGCUUGGUGGCUGUAUCUGUCACUGUUUAUUGUGUAUAGUGAAUUGACGUAAAUAUAUUUUAGUAAAUUGUUUUUGGUGUGUUGGUCUUAUGCUAUAAUAUGGGUUGGGGUUUGGUUUCCAAAGUUUGGAUGUUGAAUGCAUGCCGACGGUGGGGAAGUGUAGGUGUUACGUGAGUUUUCUUGAACUGUGAUGGAGUAGCAGGCUUAGGGUGGUGUGUUAUGAGUGGAGUGUGUGGGGUUUAGAAAAAAAUGAAUCUAAGAAUUGGGGUAUUAAAAUCAGUGAUGAGGGUUUCGGUGUUGCAAGAGAAAACGGGUAGGUCUUUACUGUGAAGGACUUUCUUGCAGUGACUCUUUACCUAUAUAUUUUGGGUGUAGAUAUUAGAUGAGAA
Molecule: long non-coding RNA, 591 nt
Filed under: Vigna radiata
Lineage: Eukaryota; Viridiplantae; Streptophyta; Magnoliopsida; Fabales; Fabaceae
Description: long non-coding RNA (VRAD_LNC011274)
Source: RNAcentral